RNAcentral lists this non-coding RNA (253 nucleotides) under uncultured bacterium. Its description in RNAcentral is "partial 16S ribosomal RNA". It matches the Rfam family "Bacterial small subunit ribosomal RNA", at positions 524 to 776 of the family's 1533-position model. RNAcentral also lists the same sequence under 1 other name. The record is from RNAcentral.
UACGGAGGGUGCAAGCGUUGUUCGGAAUUACUGGGCGUAAAGCGUGCGUAGGCGGUCUGUUAAGUCAGGCGUGAAAGCCCCGAGCUCAACUUGGGAAUCGCGUUUGAUACUGGCAGGCUAGAGGACUGUAGAGGAGAGUGGAAUUCCUAGUGUAGAGGUGAAAUUCGUAGAUAUUAGGAGGAACACCAGUGGCGAAGGCGGCUCUCUGGGCAGUACCUGACGCUGAUGGACGAAAGCGUGGGGAGCAAACAGG